GGAUUACCUUGCUUGCUGGGAUUAUUACUUUAUGGUAUUUUUACUACUUGUUCCUGAGCCUCACUGGGAUCUCUAGUGGGGUUAACCUGGGGAAUACCAGGCCUCCGCUACAACCCCUAUGGGACUCAUGCCAGACACCUCUGGGGCUCUGACUCAGGCGGCUCCCUUCGCUCUGCGGAUAUGUGCUGUGUGCGUAAGAGUGCAAAAUGCCUUGAUAAAGGCUACCAGGAGGAGCUGAAAAGUUGGGGGAUUGUUUGUGACUCGUGUUUCUGCCCAUACAGGCUUGUGGAAUUUGGUAAAUAUAAUUGUUGAGUUGUGUAGCCUAUUUGGUCACUGUUAUAUUGUUACAUUUUGCAUGUAUG
Molecule: long non-coding RNA, 362 nt
Filed under: Pelobates cultripes (western spadefoot toad)
Lineage: Eukaryota; Metazoa; Chordata; Amphibia; Anura; Pelobatidae
Source: RNAcentral